Molecule: long non-coding RNA, 244 nt
Filed under: Durio zibethinus
Lineage: Eukaryota; Viridiplantae; Streptophyta; Magnoliopsida; Malvales; Malvaceae
Description: long non-coding RNA (DZIB_LNC000044)
Source: RNAcentral
AAGGAGUGGUGCAGUAGUUCAAUCACCAGUAAGGACAGUGAGGGUUUUAUCCCGCUUUUAGUAAUACAGUAGCUGGAAAGAAAGCAGCAGUCUCAACUAGAGCAGUUAGAACUCUUAGCCAAGCAUGCGUCCCAGUGGCUAACGUGUCCCAGCCCCCAUGGUAGUCAAAACACAUCACGUUGACCCAGUCCAAGCAAGAGACUGGCGCGCAUACAUGGGGUGGUUAAACUGAGUUGAAAAAUGU